AGGAUGCUUUUGGUGAGGUGCCGCCCGAGUUCCCUGGAACGGGACGCCACAGAGGGUGAGAGCCCCGUCUGGCUGGCCGCCAAGCCUCUGUAAAGCUCCUUCGACGAGUCGAGUAGUUUGGGAAUGCUGCUCAAAAUGGGAGGUAUAUGUCUUCUAAAGCUAAAUAUUGGCCAGAGACCGAUAGCGCACAAGUAGAGUGAUCGAAAGAUGAAAAGCACCUUGAAAAGAGGGUUAAAUAGUACGUGAAAUUGUUGAAAGGGAAGCGCUUGUGACCAGACUUGGGCGCGGCGGAUCAUCCGGGGUUCUCUCCGGUGCACUUCGCCGCGUCUAGGCCACCAUCAGUUCGUCGCGGGGGAAAAAGGCUUCGGGAACGUGGCUCCUCCGGGAGUGUUAUAGCCCGUUGCAUAAUACCCUGCGGUGGACUGAGGACCGCGCAUCUGCAAGGAUGCUGGCGUAAUGGUCACCANCUACCCGUCUUGAAACACGGACCAAGGAGUCGUCUUCCUAUGCGAGUGUUCGGGUGUCAAACCNNUACGCGUAAUGAAAGUGAAC
Molecule: ribosomal RNA, 552 nt
Filed under: soil fungal sp. DM094
Lineage: Eukaryota; Fungi
Description: eukaryotic LSU rRNA
Rfam family: Eukaryotic large subunit ribosomal RNA
Source: RNAcentral